UUAGGCCAUUAUCCUGUCACCUUAGGUCGAUCGGUACCUCAGUUAAAUAUCACAAAAUUGAUUAAUCAUUUUUCGUUUUUAUUUAAAUCAGUUCCUAAACUUUGUCUAGGUCACACCCACCAAUGGUUCUCCUGGGCCAUUAGCUCAGGUGGUUAGAGCGCACCCCUGAUAAGGGUGAGGUCCCUGGUUCAAGUCCAGGAUGGCCCAUUCGGUGUUGGGGGGGUAUAGCUCAGUUGGUAGAGCGCCUGCUUUGCAAGCAGGAUGUCAGCGAUUCGAGUCCGCUUACCUCCACUGAACAGCCUCCUGAUAGCGAAUUCACGGAGAAUUUUGUUUAUGUGAUCUAGAAUUUGUUCAUGAUGAAUGAACCUAGCUUCUUAUCAUUCCUUCUAAAAUUAAUUCUUAGUUAAGGCUGAUAUGACGCUGGGCUCCCUGCAAUUUUUAUUGCAGAGAACUUCAGCAGAACCUUGACAACUGCAUAGGUGAGUCUGGAAAGGAUAAAGCAUCUCAUGGAUGCAUUAAUUCUUUUAGUCAUAACUGAUUUCUGAUCAAAUUAGAAAUCAAAUUGUGACUUGGAAUUUAAUGUUUAAUUCUUGAGCAAGAGCUGAGACUCUAUAACGUCCUUUCAUUGUUCUAUAACAUUGAGAGUUCGAUUUUUGAUUUUUCCUUAAUUUGUUUGAGCUUUAGAUAAUCUCUAAAAAUCUUAUAUUUUAUAGGCUGAAAUCAAAAAGAAAGUGUUAACAACAUAUGGCGUUUUAGAGAUUAUAUGGUCAAGCUACAA
This 778-nucleotide transfer RNA is filed under the name uncultured Prochlorococcus sp. RNAcentral's name for it is "partial 16S-23S ribosomal RNA intergenic spacer; may also contain 16S ribosomal RNA and 23S ribosomal RNA". The stretch from base 134 to 207 matches the Rfam family "tRNA". The record is from RNAcentral. Lineage: Bacteria; Bacillati; Cyanobacteriota; Cyanophyceae; Synechococcales; Prochlorococcaceae.